Molecule: ribosomal RNA, 485 nt
Filed under: uncultured bacterium
Lineage: Bacteria
Description: bacterial SSU rRNA
Rfam family: Bacterial small subunit ribosomal RNA
Source: RNAcentral
GAUGAACGCUAGCGACAGGCUUAACACAUGCAAGUCGAGGGGUAACAGGGUAGCAAUACCGCUGACGACCGGCGCACGGGUGAGUAACGCGUAUGCAACCUGCCUAUAACUGGGGAAUAGCUCCCUGAAAGGGGAAUUAACACCGCAUAACACUAUUGAUUCGCAUGGAUUGGUAGUUAAAUGUAGCGAUACAGGUUAUAGAUGGGCAUGCGUGACAUUAGCUAGUUGGUGAGGUAACGGCUCACCAAGGCUACGAUGUCUAGGGGUUCUGAGAGGAAGGUCCCCACACUGGUACUGAGACACGGACCAGACUCCUACGGGGGGCAGCAGUGGGGGAUCUUGCACAAUGGGCGAAAGCCUGAUGCAGCGACGCCGCGUGAGCGAAGAAGGCCUUCGGUUGUAAAGCUCUGUCUGGAGGGACGAAGAAAAUGACGGUACCUCCGGAGGAAGCCACGGCUAACCGUAGCCAGCAGCCGCGGAAAGUC